Molecule: long non-coding RNA, 615 nt
Filed under: Pan troglodytes (chimpanzee)
Lineage: Eukaryota; Metazoa; Chordata; Mammalia; Primates; Hominidae
Description: long non-coding RNA NONPTRT017643
Source: RNAcentral
CAACCCUCUCUUGCUUUUCCCAUCUCUCACCAGGCAUCAGCAGGUCCCAGAAAGACCCCGACCCCAAAGGCCCUGUGGCCACUGCGGCCACCACAGCCAUGACAGGGGCCCCUACUACUCCUGUCCCCUCCACGUCCACUGCCUGGGCCCCCAUGGCGCCCAGCACCCCACAGCCCACAGGGCAAAGGGAGCCUCUGGAGCUGAGUUUGGACACCGUGGGCUGCUGGGAAUGUGGAGGCUGUGUGUGUAGUGCAAGGCCAGGCCAGGGCCAGACGUCCUGCCCCCUCAGGGGUCUGCCACAGACAAGCAUGGAAACCUGAUUCUCGCUCCCCUCCAAUGGAGGGAUUCACGUGUAUUCAAGGCUGGGGGUGCUGGGGUGGGCCUCUGCUCUCACCUGGACUCACCUGGGGAGUAUCCCUGCACUCUGUGCAGUGCAGGUGCCAGGGAUCUGAAAGGAUUUAUCCUUCCCAGAGGGCACCAGGGAGACGAUGACCAAGGGGAAUUCUUCCUGGUCCCAGCCAGGGAGGGGUGCUCCAAUAGCCUGCCACACCCUGUCCCCCGCCACCCUGCAGGGAGGACCUGGUGGGGACUCCUGGCCCCUUGGGUAGUGCCCUG